GUCUACGAUACGAUCAAUCCCUCAGACAACUAUAAUAAUGAUGCUGGUGCUGGACCAAGUCAUGUGACGUACGCCCAGAUUCGACUCAAAAAGUUGGACAAGAAAAAGAAGGAAAAGCCAGCUGAUCCAAAAGGAAGUCCAGUCUACUCUGAGGUGAAGACAGGAAAAUCCACAAGUAAGACCAAUUCUACAAGUUGGCAG
Oncorhynchus nerka (sockeye salmon) is the source of this 201-nucleotide long non-coding RNA. RefSeq lists it as uncharacterized. NCBI's taxonomy places the organism in Eukaryota, Metazoa, Chordata, Actinopteri, Salmoniformes, Salmonidae. The transcript is spliced from 3 exons. The record is from RefSeq and is a predicted model, not a curated record.